Molecule: ribosomal RNA, 466 nt
Filed under: uncultured bacterium
Lineage: Bacteria
Description: SSU rRNA
Rfam family: Bacterial small subunit ribosomal RNA
Source: RNAcentral
AGAACGAACGCUGGCGGCAUGCCUAACACAUGCAAGUCGAACGAGACCUUCGGGUCUAGUGGCGCACGGGUGCGUAACGCGUGGGAAUCUGCCCUUAGGUACGGAAUAACAGUGAGAAAUUACUGCUAAUACCGUAUGAUGUCUUCGGACCAAAGAUUUAUCGCCUAGGGAUGAGCCCGCGUAGGAUUAGCUAGUUGGUGGGGUAAAGGCCUACCAAGGCGACGAUCCUUAGCUGGUCUGAGAGGAUGAUCAGCCACACUGGGACUGAGACACGGCCCAGACUCCUACGGGAGGCAGCAGUGGGAAUUUGGACAAUGGGGGCAACCCUGAUCCAGCAAUGCCGCGUGAGUGAAGAAGGCCUUCGGGUUGUAAAGCUCUUUGUCCGGAAGAAACGGUUUUUCUAAUACAGAGAACUAAUGACGGUACCGGAAGAAUAAGCACCGGCUAACUACGUGCCAGCAGCCGC